GUAUCAUGGCUCAGGAUGAACGCUAGCUACAGGCUUAACACAUGCAAGUCGAGGGGCGAGCAUGGUCUUAGCUUGCUAAGGCUGAUGGCGACCGGCGCACGGGUGAGUAACACGUAUCCAACCUGCCGUCUACUCUUGGCUAGCCUUCUGAAAGGAAGAUUAAUCCAGGAUGGCAUCAUGAGUUCACAUGUCCGCAUGAUUAAAGGUAUUUUCCGGUAGACGAUGGGG
RNAcentral lists this ribosomal RNA (228 nucleotides) under uncultured bacterium. RNAcentral describes it as "partial 16S ribosomal RNA". It matches the Rfam family "Bacterial small subunit ribosomal RNA", at positions 14 to 230 of the family's 1533-position model. The record is from RNAcentral.